AGAGCGAACGCUGGCGGCAGGCUUAACACAUGCAAGUCGAGCGGGCGUAGCAAUACGUCAGCGGCAGACGGGUGAGUAACGCGUGGGAACAUACCUUUUGGUUCGGAACAACCCAGGGAAACUUGGGCUAAUACCGGAUAAGCCCUUACGGGGAAAGAUUUAUCGCCGAAAGAUUGGCCCGCGUCUGAUUAGCUAGUUGGUGAGGUAACGGCUCACCAAGGCGACGAUCAGUAGCUGGUCUGAGAGGAUGAUCAGCCACAUUGGGACUGAGACACGGCCCAAACUCCUACGGGAGGCAGCAGUGGGGAAUAUUGGACAAUGGGCGCAAGCCUGAUCCAGCCAUGCCGCGUGAGUGAUGAAGGCCCUAGGGUUGUAAAGCUCUUUUGUGCGGGAAGAUAAUGACGGUACCGCAAGAAUAACGCCCGGACUAACUUCGUGCCAGCAGCCGC
RNAcentral lists this ribosomal RNA (449 nucleotides) under uncultured bacterium. RNAcentral describes it as "SSU rRNA". It matches the Rfam family "Bacterial small subunit ribosomal RNA", at positions 26 to 518 of the family's 1533-position model. The record is from RNAcentral.